AUAUUAUGAGAAUAUGUAAAUAAAAAAUAAACAAAUAUUAAGGCAAACAAGCGUCAUUUGGAAGGUGAAACACAAAGCAGAAAUAAUGUUAAGUCAAAAGAAUAAUGCCAAGAUUAUAUAAACACACAUUCAGUACAAUAGAAAUGACGUAAUACAAAAGGGGAUUAAAUUUGAGUUACCUGCAUUCAUGUCAAACCAUGA
RNAcentral lists this unclassified non-coding RNA (201 nucleotides) under Hevea brasiliensis (rubber tree). Lineage: Eukaryota; Viridiplantae; Streptophyta; Magnoliopsida; Malpighiales; Euphorbiaceae. The record is from RNAcentral.